Molecule: transfer RNA, 50 nt
Filed under: Alcanivorax sp.
Lineage: Bacteria; Pseudomonadati; Pseudomonadota; Gammaproteobacteria; Oceanospirillales; Alcanivoracaceae
Description: tRNA-Ser
Rfam family: tRNA
About the family: Transfer RNA (tRNA) molecules are approximately 80 nucleotides in length. Their secondary structure includes four short double-helical elements and three loops (D, anti-codon, and T loops).
Source: RNAcentral
GUUGGCUUUUAACCAAUUGGUCGCUGGUUCGAAUCCAGCACGACCCACCA